GUCGCAGCGCUGCCUAUACUGCAGUCGAGCGGAUUGAUGGGAGCUUGCUCCCAUCAGUCAGCGGCGGACGGGUGAGUAACACGUGGGUAACCUGCCUGUAAGACUGGGAUAACUCCGGGAAACCGGGGCUAAUACCGGAUAACUCAUUUCCUCGCAUGAGGAAAUGUUGAAAGAUGGCUUCUUGCUAUCACUUACAGAUGGACCCGCGGCGCAUUAGCUAGUUGGUGAGGUAACGGCUCACCAAGGCGACAAUGCGUAGCCGACCUGAGAGGGUGAUCGGCCACACUGGGACUGAGACACGGCCCAGACUCCUACGGGAGGCAGCAGUAGGGAAUCUUCCGCAAUGGACGAAAGUCUGACGGAGCAACGCCGCGUGAGUGAUGAAGGUUUUCGGAUCGUAAAACUCUGUUGUUAGGGAAGAACAAGUACCGUUCGAAUAGGGCGGUACCUUGACGGUACCUAACCAGAAAGCCACGGCUAACUACGUGCCAGCAGCCGCGGUAAUACGUAGGUGGCAAGCGUUGUCCGGAAUUAUUGGGCGUAAAGCGCGCGCAGGUGGUUUCUUAAGUCUGAUGUGAAAGCCCACGGCUCAACCGUGGAGGGUCAUUGGAAACUGGGGAACUUGAGUGCAGAAGAGGAAAGUGGAAUUCCAAGUGUAGCGGUGAAAUGCGUAGAUAUUUGGAGGAACACCAGUGGCGAAGGCGACUUUCUGGUCUGUAACUGACCUGAGGCCAAAGCUGGGGGGGAAAAAAAAAAAAAAGAACAAAG
Molecule: ribosomal RNA, 768 nt
Filed under: Bacillus sp. HQ-1-128
Lineage: Bacteria; Bacillati; Bacillota; Bacilli; Caryophanales; Bacillaceae
Description: bacterial SSU rRNA
Rfam family: Bacterial small subunit ribosomal RNA
Source: RNAcentral